CGCCUUGUUUUAUAAAAACAUGUUUUUUUGCAUUAUAAUUUAAAAUUUGACCUGCCCACUGAUUCAAAUGGUUGAAGGGCCGCGGUAUUUUGACCGUGCAAAGGUAGCAUAAUCAUUAGUCCUUUAAUUGUGGACUGGAAUGAAUGGUUUGACGAAGUAUUAACUGUCUCAUAUUAAUAAUUUGAAUUUAACUUUUAAGUUAAAAGGCUUAAAUAGUUUUAUAGGACGAGAAGACCCUAUAGAUCUUAAUAAUUAUUUAUUUAAUAUAUUUUUGGAUAAUUAUUUUAAUUAAUUAUUUAAUUAUUUUAUUGGGGUGAUAUAAAGAAUAAUAAAACUCUUUAUUUUUUAAUACAUUUAUUUAUGAAUAAUUGAUCCAUUAUUAGUGAUUAUAAGAUUAAGUUACCUUAGGGAUAACAGCGUUAUUUUUUUUGAGAGUUCUUAUCAACAAAAAAGAUUGCGACCUCGAUGUUGGAUUAAGGUAAAUAUUGGGUGUAGAAGUUCAAUGAUGUGGUCUGUUCGACCAUUAAAUCCUUACGUGAUCUGAUUUCAGACCGGA
Molecule: ribosomal RNA, 556 nt
Filed under: Pseudotachycines deformis
Lineage: Eukaryota; Metazoa; Arthropoda; Insecta; Orthoptera; Rhaphidophoridae
Description: partial large subunit ribosomal RNA
Rfam family: Bacterial large subunit ribosomal RNA
Source: RNAcentral